This 467-nucleotide ribosomal RNA is filed under the name uncultured bacterium. Its description in RNAcentral is "bacterial SSU rRNA". It matches the Rfam family "Bacterial small subunit ribosomal RNA", at positions 8 to 483 of the family's 1533-position model. The record is from RNAcentral.
AGAGUUUGAUCCUGGCUCAGGAUGAACGCUGGCGGCGUGCUUAACACAUGCAAGUCGAACGAAGAUAUUCAAGUAGCAAUACGAGGAUAUCUUAGUGGCGGACGGGUGAGUAACGCGUGAGGAACCUGCCUUGGAGAGGGGAAUAACACAUUGAAAAGUGUGCUAAUACCGCAUAAAGCAUCGAUAUCACAUGGUAAUGAUGCCAAAGAUUUAUCGCUCUGAGAUGGCCUCGCGUCUGAUUAGCUAGUUGGUGAGGUAACGGCCCACCAAGGCGACGAUCAGUAGCCGGACUGAGGGGUUGACCGGCCACAUUGGGACUGAGAUACGGCCCAGACUCCUACGGGAGGCAGCAGUGGGGAAUAUUGGGCAAUGGGCGAAAGCCUGACCCAGCAACGCCGCGUGAAGGAAGAAGGCCCUCGGGUUGUAAACUUCUUUUAAGAGGGACGAAAAAAAUGACGGUACCUCUG